RNAcentral lists this ribosomal RNA (492 nucleotides) under uncultured bacterium. RNAcentral's name for it is "bacterial SSU rRNA". It matches the Rfam family "Bacterial small subunit ribosomal RNA", at positions 903 to 1397 of the family's 1533-position model. The record is from RNAcentral.
AAAGGAAUAGACGGGGGCCCGCACAAGCGGUGGAGCAUGUGGUUUAAUUCGAUGAUACGCGAGAAACCUUACCAGGGCUUGACAUAUAUAGGAAUGUGGUUGAAAGAUCACAGCUGCUUGCAGCCUGUAUACAGGUGCUGCAUGGCUGUCGUCAGCUCGUGCUGUGAAGUGUGAGAUUAAGUUCUUCAACGAGCGCAACCCCUACUGCCUGUUACCAACAUUAAGUUGGGGACUCAGGCGGGACUGCCGGUGACAAAUCGGAGGAAGGCGGGGACGACGUCAAGUCAUCAUGGCCCUUAUGUCCUGGGCAACACACGUGCUACAAUGGUUGGUACAGACCGAAGCGAAGGUGCGAACUGGAGCUAAUCGUAAAAAACCAAUCUCAGUACGGACUGGAGUCUGCAACUCGACUCCACGAAGUUGGAAUCGCUAGUAAUCGCAUAUCAGCAUGAUGCGGUGAAUACGUUCCCGGGCCUUGUACACACCGCCCGU